This 253-nucleotide ribosomal RNA is filed under the name uncultured bacterium. Its description in RNAcentral is "partial 16S ribosomal RNA". It matches the Rfam family "Bacterial small subunit ribosomal RNA", at positions 524 to 776 of the family's 1533-position model. The record is from RNAcentral.
UACGUAGGGUGCGAGCGUUAAUCGGAAUUACUGGGCGUAAAGCAUGCGCAGGCGGUUUUGUAAGCCAGAUGUGAAAUCCCCGGGCUUAACCUGGGAAUGGCAUUUGGGACUGCAAGGCUUGAGUGCGGCAGAGGAGACUGGAAUUCCUGGUGUAGCAGUGAAAUGCGUAGAUAUCAGGAGGAACACCGAUGGCGAAGGCAGGUCUCUGGGCUGACACUGACGCUCAUGCACGAAAGCGUGGGGAGCAAACAGG